This 484-nucleotide ribosomal RNA is filed under the name uncultured bacterium. RNAcentral's name for it is "partial 16S ribosomal RNA". It matches the Rfam family "Bacterial small subunit ribosomal RNA", at positions 29 to 507 of the family's 1533-position model. The record is from RNAcentral.
AUUGAACGCUGGCGGCAUGCUUUACACAUGCAAGUCGAACGGCAGCGCGGGCUUCGGCCUGGCGGCGAGUAGCGAACGGGUGAGUAAUGCAUCGGAACGUGCCCAGUAGUGGGGGAUAGCCCAGCGAAAGCCGGAUUAAUACCGCAUACGACCUGAGGGUGAAAGCGGGGGACCGAAAGGCCUCGCGCUAUUGGAGCGGCCGAUGGCGGAUUAGCUAGUUGGUGGGGUAAAGGCUUACCAAGGCGACGAUCCGUAGCUGGUCUGAGAGGACGACCAGCCACACUGGGACUGAGACACGGCCCAGACUCCUACGGGAGGCAGCAGUGGGGAAUUUUGGACAAUGGGGGCAACCCUGAUCCAGCCAUGCCGCGUGCGGGAAGAAGGCCUUCGGGUUGUAAACCGCUUUUGUUCGGGAAGAAAUCCUCUGGGCUAAUACCCCGGGGGGAUGACGGUACCGGAAGAAUAAGCACCGGCUAACUACGUG